This 1087-nucleotide ribosomal RNA is filed under the name Nesterenkonia sp. Its description in RNAcentral is "bacterial SSU rRNA". It matches the Rfam family "Bacterial small subunit ribosomal RNA", at positions 385 to 1478 of the family's 1533-position model. The record is from RNAcentral. Lineage: Bacteria; Bacillati; Actinomycetota; Actinomycetes; Micrococcales; Micrococcaceae.
GAUGCAGCGACGCCGCGUGCGGGAUGACGGCCUUCGGGUUGUAAACCGCUUUCAGCAGGGAAGAAGCUUUUUGUGACGGUACCUGCAGAAGAAGCCCCGGCUAACUACGUGCCAGCAGCCGCGGUAAUACGUAGGGCGCGAGCGUUAUCCGGAAUUAUUGGGCGUAAAGGGCUCGCAGGCGGUUUGCCACGUCUGCUGUGAAAGCCCGGGGCUUAACUCCGGGUGUGCAGUGGGUACGGGUAGACUAGAGUGCAGUAGGGGAGACUGGAAUUCCUGGUGUAGCGGUGAAAUGCGCAGAUAUCAGGAAGAACACCGAUGGCGAAGGCAGGUCUCUGGGCUGUUACUGACGCUGAGGAGCGAAAGCAUGGGGAGCGAACAGGAUUAGAUACCCUGGUAGUCCAUGCCGUAAACGUUGGGCACUAGGUGUGGGGAACAUUCCACGUUUUCCGCGCCGUAGCUAACGCAUUAAGUGCCCCGCCUGGGGAGUACGGCCGCAAGGCUAAAACUCAAAGGAAUUGACGGGGGCCCGCACAAGCGGCGGAGCAUGCGGAUUAAUUCGAUGCAACGCGAAGAACCUUACCAAGGCUUGACAUGGACCGGAUCGCUGCAGAGAUGUAGUUUCCCUUCGGGGCUGGUUCACAGGUGGUGCAUGGUUGUCGUCAGCUCGUGUCGUGAGAUGUUGGGUUAAGUCCCGCAACGAGCGCAACCCUUGUCCUAUGUUGCCAGCACGUAGUGGUGGGGACUCAUGGGAGACUGCCGGGGUCAACUCGGAGGAAGGUGGGGAUGACGUCAAAUCAUCAUGCCCCUUAUGUCUUGGGCUUCACGCAUGCUACAAUGGCCGGUACAGUGGGUUGCGAUACUGUGAGGUGGAGCUAAUCCCUAAAAGCCGGUCUCAGUUCGGAUCGAAGUCUGCAACUCGACUUCGUGAAGUUGGAGUCGCUAGUAAUCGCAGAUCAGCAAUGCUGCGGUGAAUACGUUCCCGGGCCUUGUACACACCGCCCGUCAAGUCACGAAAGUCGGUAACACCCGAAGCUCACGGCCCAACCCCUUGUGGGAGGGAGUGGUCGAAGGUGGGACCGGCGAUGGA